GGAUGCGAUCAUACCAGCACUAAAGCACCAGAUCCCAUCAGAACUCCGAAGUUAAGCGUGCUUGGGCGAGAGUAGUACUAGGAUGGGUGACCUCCAGGGAAGUCCUCGUGUUGCAUUCC
Molecule: ribosomal RNA, 119 nt
Filed under: Triticum aestivum (bread wheat)
Lineage: Eukaryota; Viridiplantae; Streptophyta; Magnoliopsida; Poales; Poaceae
Source: RNAcentral